RNAcentral lists this ribosomal RNA (496 nucleotides) under uncultured bacterium. Its description in RNAcentral is "partial 16S ribosomal RNA". It matches the Rfam family "Bacterial small subunit ribosomal RNA", at positions 28 to 506 of the family's 1533-position model. The record is from RNAcentral.
GAUGAACGCUGGCGGCGUGCCUAAUACAUGCAAGUCGAGCGAACAGACGAGGAGCUUGCUCCUCUGACGUUAGCGGCGGACGGGUGAGUAACACGUGGAUAACCUACCUAUAAGACUGGGAUAACUUCGGGAAACCGGAGCUAAUACCGGAUAAUAUAUUGAACCGCAUGGUUCAAUAGUGAAAGACGGUUUUGCUGUCACUUAUAGAUGGAUCCGCGCCGCAUUAGCUAGUUGGUAAGGUAACGGCUUACCAAGGCAACGAUGCGUAGCCGACCUGAGAGGGGGAUCGGCCACACUGGAACUGAGGCACGGUCCAGACUCCUACGGGAGGCAGCAGUAGGGAAUCUUCCGCAAUGGGCGAAAGCCUGACGGAGCAACGCCGCGUGAGUGAUGAAGGUCUUCGGAUCGUAAAACUCUGUUAUUAGGGAAGAACAAAUGUGUAAGUAACUAUGCACGUCUUGACGGUACCUAAUCAGAAAGCCACGGCUAACUACGU